CACACACACACACAUGCACACCCACACACACACACACACACACAUAUAUAUACAUUCAUUCUCUCUCGCUCUCACACACACACACACACACACACACACAUUCACUCACAUGCACAGAAAGACUGGCAUGUCCACAGGAUACUGCAAACAGCCGACGGCACAGACUGAGAAGAGAAGAGCGCGUGAUUGAGAGACACGGAGAGAAUUAGAGGAAGAAAUCGAGCAAGAAAAUGUAAAGAGGGAGAGAGUCAGAGAGGGAGUCAGAAAAACAGAGUGAGAGAGAGGGGGAGAGAGAAAGAGAGAGAGAGAGAGGGGGAGAGGGAGGAGAAGUAGGAGUGUGAGAGAAGGAGAGCGAGUGAAGGAAAGAGAGAGAGAGAGCGACGGAGGAGAGACAAAGACUACUGCUUGAAGAGCUGUUUCCUGCAAGCCAUGUGCAGCGGCGGAGUGUCGCACAGCGGAAUGUGUCUGCUACUCCCGACUUAUCGCAUGGGCAACGGCGCUGGUGCGCAAGGGUGGAAGAACGUGGCUGUGCAGUCGAGUCAGACAAAAGGGCUCUGGGUGCUUUGAAGAGGAGUCCCUGCCUGAGGAGGAGGGGACAGCCUCGCCUCGUCUUGACCGGGGACCUUUCUCCAAAAGGAGUGACUGACAGCCUUUGAAGCGGAUCUCCGGCCUCUAUCUCUCUCUCUCUCUCUCUCUCUCUCUCUCUCUCUCUCUCCCUCUCUCUCUCUCUCUCUCUCUUUCCUUCUCUAUGACUCCACUGAAGAGGCAGCAGGACGCAAGGGAAGUCGGGGACCCCGGACAGCGUGCAGGAAAUACUCCUUUCACCCAGACUGAGUAAGUGAACGAAAAAGAGAGAGACGAAAAGAGAGAAGAGAGAAAAAAAACAGAGCGCUUUGGCUACUAAUGGAUAUCAUAUGGUGCAUGUUAAAAUUGAGAAAUUGUUUGCAGAUUCUUGAUAACCACACAGAGAAAGACUGAAAGCAUUUGAAGUGAAGUUUUGGCUGGCUAAAAUGUGAUUUUUGUGUUCUGGUAAAUUUGAGCAAAAAAUAAUUCUAAUAAUGUUGCCUAAAGUAUUGACACGGUUUUAAAAUGCUGAUGUUGGUGGAUUGCCGUGUGUGUCGGACGUUGUCGGUGUAGAUCAUUGUAUGCUUGGUAUUAUGUGAUAGAAUAGACAGACAUACUUAAGCAGUGCUUCGUCGAUCUUCUUCCUGGCUGAGUUUUCAUAGGAGACAACUGUCAGCAAGCAAAAGCACAUUCUUAUUUAAUUAUUAGAGUAGAGUACAGAGUUGUGAAGUGAAAAUGUCAUGUGGCUUUUUGGGAACAGACUAGAGGGUUUUGUAGUUCAGUAUAUAUAUAUUUUUUUUUUUCUUGUAAUUUGUGGCAAAGUUCAGGGAAGGCAUAUGGUGUGUGUGUGUGUGUGUGUGUGUGUGUGUGUCAGAGAUUGUCACGUGCUCUGCUGAGGGUUCUCUUGGGGUCUCUGUUACUUACCGGCUGCUUGAGUCUCAAAUGAACGUCUUACUGUGUUGGUGUGAGUGUGAGUGUGUAUGGUGUGUCUGUGUGAAUGAGUGUGUGUGUGUGAAUGUGAAUGUGAAUGUGAGUGUGUGUGAGUACAUGCUCGUCAGCAUUUGUAGUGGUGAGAGCCGGGGGUGGAAAGGCGGAACAAUGUAUACAGUAACCCUACUCAGCACAAUGCUAUUUUUUUUAUGAAUGGGCCAGGGGAGCGGGCUCUCUGAUUGGCUGGAAGCGGUGGGUGAUCACAGGACACACACUCUCAGCUGGCUCAGUGUCGGCAGCAGGGCUGGAGGGAGUCGUCUCCGGCGGUUAGACUAGACACACUCACCCAUACUGCCCCGACGCUCACACUGACCGACUUGAAGACCGGUACGGCAAGGUCAGAAUGUGUGUGUGUGUGUGUGUGUGUGCGUGUGUGUGUGCUGUUAGUAUGGGAGCACUAGAUUGUCAGUGUAUGUACUGUAUGUGUUGUAGUAUGCGUACCGAUAAAAUGUCAGUAGUAGUGAGGUUUUUUUGUUUUUUUUUGCAUGUGUGUGUAUGUGUGUGACAACAGACUGAAAAGUUGACCUUUUCAAUGCGUGGAUGUAUUUUACUGUGUGUAUAUGAAAGAGUGCUAGUGUGUGUGUGUGUGUGUGUGUGUGUGUGUGUGAUUGAAAGUGUUGGUUUUUCUACGUGUGUGUGUGUCAUGGGUGUGUGUGUGUGUAUAUGAGUGCUGAAUGAAUCAGUGUUAGGAGAGGUCUGGGCUACAUGUGUUUGUCUAAAGGGACUUAGUCACAGGCCAAGUGGCUGUGUGUGUGUGUGUGUGUGUGUGUGUAUGUGUAUGUGUGUGUGUGUGUGUGUGUGUGUGUGUGUGUGUGUGUGUGUGUGUGUGUGUGUGUGUGCGCACGCGUGUGUGUUUGUGUGAGAGAGCCAUCGCGAACAAGGCCUCUCGUCCAGCUGUUGUCCUUCAGAGAUCCACAUUAAGCGCUCGCCGACGACCUUCAGUGCAAAAAAACCCAGUGAACCAGCAGCAAUCUUGUGACUCUGAGCCAGGGAUAAUUUCAUUGCAGUGGGAAACUCAGGGACUCCAGUGCCCCACAGCACCUGACCUGGAGCCACCACUGGGCCACAACUGGGCCACAUCACAGCCAGAUCUGGCCCGCAGUUAGCAGCAGUCAUCAGUUUGAACGUCUCUGAAAGCUGCAUUUAAAAUAUC
Sardina pilchardus (European sardine) is the source of this 2707-nucleotide long non-coding RNA. RefSeq lists it as uncharacterized. Lineage: Eukaryota; Metazoa; Chordata; Actinopteri; Clupeiformes; Clupeidae. The transcript is spliced from 4 exons. The record is from RefSeq and is a predicted model, not a curated record.